UACAGAGGGUGCAAGCGUUAAUCGGAAUGACUGGGCGUAAAGAGCGCGUAGGCGGAAGUAUAAGUCAGAGGUGAAAUCCCUGGGCUCAACCUAGGAACUGCCUCUGAAACUGUACAUCUAGAGUAAAGGAGAGGAAAGUGGAAUUUCCGGUGUAGCGGUGAAAUGCGUAGAUAUCGGAAGGAACAUCAGUGGCGAAGGCGACUUUCUGGCCUAUUACUGACGCUGAGGCGCGAAAGCGUGGGUAGCAAACAGG
RNAcentral lists this ribosomal RNA (253 nucleotides) under uncultured bacterium. RNAcentral's name for it is "partial 16S ribosomal RNA". It matches the Rfam family "Bacterial small subunit ribosomal RNA", at positions 524 to 776 of the family's 1533-position model. The record is from RNAcentral.